UACGGAGGGAGCUAGCGUUGCUCGGAAUGACUGGGCGUAAAGGGCGCGUAGGCGGAUGGCUUAGUCAGGCGUGAAAGUCCUGGGCUUAACCUGGGGACGGCGCUUGAGACGGGUUGUCUAGAGUGGGGAAGAGGGCCGUGGAAUUCCCAGUGUAGAGGUGAAAUUCGUAGAUAUUGGGAAGAACACCGGUGGCGAAGGCGGCGGCCUGGUCCUUUUACUGACGCUGAGGCGCGAAAGCGUGGGGAGCAAACAGG
RNAcentral lists this ribosomal RNA (254 nucleotides) under uncultured bacterium. RNAcentral describes it as "partial 16S ribosomal RNA". It matches the Rfam family "Bacterial small subunit ribosomal RNA", at positions 524 to 776 of the family's 1533-position model. The record is from RNAcentral.